RNAcentral lists this unclassified non-coding RNA (240 nucleotides) under soil metagenome. RNAcentral's name for it is "partial contains 5.8S ribosomal RNA, internal transcribed spacer 2, and large subunit ribosomal RNA". The record is from RNAcentral.
AACAAGGCGUACCUGCGGACCUGCGGAAGGAUCAUUACUGAGUCACGUGCUCAAACAACCCUUCUGUGGACCUGAAAUAAAACCGUUGCCUCGGCGGGCGGUCCCCCCCAAACCAACCCCACGUGGUGGGUUAGGGGAGACCAGACAGUCCGGUACGCUUAGGGCGUCCGGCGCCAGCCGCUGGCCCCAAACAAUUAAACUCUAGUAAUCUUUACCUUCUGAGUUUCAAUAUUUAAAAAU